This 404-nucleotide long non-coding RNA is filed under the name Equus caballus (horse). RNAcentral's name for it is "lncRNA (ENSECAG00000045068.1)". Lineage: Eukaryota; Metazoa; Chordata; Mammalia; Perissodactyla; Equidae. The record is from RNAcentral.
GGCUACACUGUAUGGAGCUGGAUCCCAGAAGCACCUUUUGAGAAGAAGCUCAAUCCAAAGCGAAGCAGCUACAGCUUUGUCACCUCUGCUCCUCACAAGGCUGCUGGCAGAAGGCUCACUGUGGCCACCAGCCUCUGGGAUCUCCAGAGUCUGUGUCCAGGGUGCAGUGUCUGCUCCCACAGCUGCCAGUCCUUGGGGUGUCUCAGCCAUGUUCCCAACCACACUUGUCAUCUCAAGUCCUGAAGCAGCUCUGCCUGUACUUAAAAUCUCAGUCUUCUCGACUAACUCACUCAGCUCCAGCCUCCAGCCCUUCACUGCACAGGGACCCCAAACCAGUCCACGGGAUUUGGAGGAGAGACUUCACUCUGCCUUCUCCAGCCUUCUCUCCCCUCCACCUCAGCCUG